GAUGAACGCUGGCGGCGUGCCUAAUACAUGCAAGUCGAGCGAACAGACGAGGAGCUUGCUCCUCUGACGUUAGCGGCGGACGGGUGAGUAACACGUGGAUAACCUACCUAUAAGACUGGGAUGACUUCGGGAAACCGGAGCUAAUACCGGAUAAUAUAUUGAACCGCAUGGUUCAAUAGUGAAAGACGGUUUUGCUGUCACUUAUAGAUGGAUCCGCGCCGCAUUAGCUAGUUGGUAAGGUAACGGCUUACCAAGGCAACGAUGCGUAGCCGACCUGAGAGGGUGAUCGGCCACACUGGAACUGAGACACGGUCCAGACUCCUACGGGAGGCAGCAGUAGGGAAUCUUCCGCAAUGGGCGAAAGCCUGACGGAGCAACGCCGCGUGAGUGAUGAAGGUCUUCGGAUCGUAAAACUCUGUUAUUAGGGAAGAACAAAUGUGUAAGUAACUAUGCACGUCUUGACGGUACCUAAUCAGAAAGCCACGGCUAACUACGU
Molecule: ribosomal RNA, 496 nt
Filed under: uncultured bacterium
Lineage: Bacteria
Description: partial 16S ribosomal RNA
Rfam family: Bacterial small subunit ribosomal RNA
Source: RNAcentral